GGGCCUGGGCCUGAAGCCAAGCCUGAGGGUGGAACCCUUGGGAAUGUACUCCGGAUAGCUAGUCUCUCCCUCAGGGCCAGGGCCAAGGAUAGGGCCCAGACAUCCUCCUGCUCCUAUCUCAGCCUCCCUGGCUCAGUCUUUCUUCCCUUUGUCCUCUCCCUUCCUCUGUCUGUCUGUCUGUCUGUCUGUCUGUCUGUCUGUCUGUCUGUCUGUCUCUCUCUCUUUCUCUCUCUGUCUCUGCCUCUCUCUCUCUCUCUCUCUCUCUCUCUCUCUCUCUCUCUCUCUCUCUCUCUCUCUCUCUGUCUGUCUCUGUAUCUCUGUCUCUCUGUCUCUGUUUCUCUGUCUCUCUCUGUCUCUGUCUCUUUCUCAGUCUCUCUGUCUCUGUCUCUGUCUUUCUCUGUCUGUCUGUCUGUCUCUCUCUCUCUCUCCCUCCUCCCACUCCAGUCCUGUCUUUCCCGGAAUGCCCAGCCUGUGAGAAAUGCAGGCAGGCAUCUCUUCCCCAGUCAAUGGGUUGUUCCACUCACUCCCUGCUUCAGGUCCUUUGGGGUGACACCAGAGCCCCUGCUCGAUAAUGCCCUGUGAAUGCUAUUGGCAGCUUCUCAGCUCUUUGGAGGGCAGAGCAAAUUGGAAACCUUGUCCUGAGUACAAACAGAGCUGGGGGUGCUGGUUCUCCGGGGCUCACCGGUGGGAGAUAAGCCAGCAAGGAAGAGAGGCACUGCCCUCCCAGGCAGGCACCAGGAACUGUGGCCACGGUAGCAACCAGGCCUGCCUCAACAUUCCAGAAAUCUGAAGGGCCAGCCUGGAGAACAGACAUUACAUUAGCUCUGCUUGGCCUCAGAGGACAGGGCAAAAUGAGGAUGUCGCAGGCAGCAAUGUAGGUUCUUUGAAAGGAAAUACGUUGGAACCAGGAGAGCUGUCAGACAUAGAUGGUGACGCCCCCACAAGUGGUGAGCUCUCUGUUACUGAAUUCUCACCUCCUCCUGGGAACCUACUUCUGGGUUUUAAUUUUCCCAGUAAAGUAUGAGUCAUAAUUCUUUGCUGGAAGGGAGGGAGGAGGAAGCCUUGGGGAGAAAAGAGAAAUUUCGGAAUCUCUACUGGACUUUGAUAUUACGUCUCAGCUUCCUUUCACCCCGGAAUGUCCCUCCACCAAGUGGGCUCCCUUCUCUUGGCGGAUGCCACAUUUUGGGAAAGAGGCCCAGAAUGGCCAGUCUUCAUUCCCUUCUUGGCACUACUUCUGACCUUCUGAACUUUGCCAAAAUGCCCUCUUGAGGGUACUUUCCUUCCUCCUCCAGUUUUUCAUCUCUCCCUCCCUCCCUCCCUCCCUCUCUCUCUCUCUCUCUCUCUCUCUCUCUCUCUCUCUCUCUCUCUGUGUCUCUCUCUCUAUGU
Molecule: long non-coding RNA, 1386 nt
Filed under: Monodelphis domestica (gray short-tailed opossum)
Lineage: Eukaryota; Metazoa; Chordata; Mammalia; Didelphimorphia; Didelphidae
Description: lncRNA (ENSMODG00000050209.1)
Source: RNAcentral